Molecule: RNase P RNA, 370 nt
Filed under: Acidobacteriota bacterium
Lineage: Bacteria; Pseudomonadati; Acidobacteriota
Description: Acidobacteria bacterium RNase P RNA component class A
Rfam family: Bacterial RNase P class A
About the family: Ribonuclease P (RNase P) is a ubiquitous endoribonuclease, found in archaea, bacteria and eukarya as well as chloroplasts and mitochondria. Its best characterised activity is the generation of mature 5'-ends of tRNAs by cleaving the 5'-leader elements of precursor-tRNAs.
Source: RNAcentral
GGAGUCGGGGGGAAGGUCGCUCCGGAGUUACUUCGGAGAGGAAAGUCCGAACUCCCCAGGGCAGCACGCUGGGUAACUCCCAGUCCCGGCGACGGGAAGGAAAGUGCAACAGAGAGUAGACAGCCGGUGCAGGGCUUCGUCCGGUGCCGGCAACGGUGAAACGGUGGGGUAAGAGCCCACCAGCGCCGGCGGCGACGCCGGCGGCUCGGCAAACCCCGUGCGGAGCAAGACCAAAUAGGGGAGAUGAGGAGUGGCCCGCUCCGAUCUCCCGGGUAGGUCGCCAGAGGGAACAGGCAACUGUUCUCCCAGAUGAAUGACCUUCGCCCCAUUUCGUGGGGCACAGAAUUCGGCUUACAACCCGGCUCCAACG